RNAcentral lists this small RNA (336 nucleotides) under Pan troglodytes (chimpanzee). RNAcentral describes it as "processed transcript". The record is from RNAcentral. Lineage: Eukaryota; Metazoa; Chordata; Mammalia; Primates; Hominidae.
GUGGGAACCUGGCUGGCCUGUUAGGAAGAGGUUGCCCAACCCAGGGCUUGUUAAGAAGAGUGCAGUUACCUCAGAGAGACGGUUCAAGUGAAGGCAUAAGUUAAAAACCAGACCCCAGGAUACUAGGAUAAGAAAGGUCCCAGAUCCUUGCCAUAAUUUCCAUCAUGUUCAUCGUCCUCUCCACCAUUGCCCUGUCCCUCAACACGCUGCCUGAGCUACAGAGCCUCGAUGAGUUUGGCCAGUCCACAGACAACCCCCAGCUGGCCCACGUGGAGGCCGUGUGCAUCGCAUGGUUCACCAUGGAGUACCUGCUGCGGUUCCUCUCCUCGCCCAAGA